Long non-coding RNA from Biomphalaria glabrata, 7802 nucleotides. RefSeq lists it as uncharacterized. The transcript has 4 exons. The record is from RefSeq and is a predicted model, not a curated record. NCBI's taxonomy places the organism in Eukaryota, Metazoa, Mollusca, Gastropoda, Planorbidae.
GCGUCCAGCGUUAUCUGUGUCGCGAGCGAUGAGCGAGGGGCCAGGCGAGACAAAGCCCAAUGUCUACUGUGGGAAAUGAAAGAUCGAUGCGACGUUAAGAAACGGACAAAACGCGCGCACACGCACAAAUCAACAUAAACAUCCAGACCAAAUUUGAAAGACAUUUGAAAUGAGUUUUUUUCAAUACUAAACUUUGUGGUUGUUGAAUCAUGUUUUGCAAUUAGAUGUACAGUACUUAACGACUGUGGAUUCUAGAUAUAAAACACUUAUCUUGCAGUUAUAUAAAGAAGAAGUCACACAAGACUAACAAGUUUCAUGUAAAACUCUUCAGUAAUUAAAGCAAAUAAUGCCUGCCGUGACAGCUGGAUCUCAAGUGUGCAAAGUAUUCCUCUGUGAGUACCCACGUGAAAGAUCACGGCUACGAAAAUGAUGACGUCAUUAACUGUACUCUUGAAACCAAAUGCACGCUACAGUCUCGUCUGGCUGACUGCUUUGAUGUCGCUGGUGCUACAGACAGUUUCCGGUUUGGCUUGUGUCCAGUGUGUUUCAUUGAACACCCCAGAUUGUCAGUAUGGCGACAUCCCGGCCACUCCAUGUACUGGUCAGCAUAAAAACGCCAAGUACUGUUUCAAGACUCGUGCAAAGAUUGUCCCCACUGGCCACGGUGAGGUCGUUAGCCGAGGAUGUACUGACCUCCUCCAGAGUAACUGUACAGAGCAGCUUGUCGGAGGGGAAUUCUACUGGAAGUGCUACUACUCUUGCUCUGAAGACGGCUGCAACAGAUCCCCCCUCACGAUCAAGGCGGCGAACUUUGCUAUGGUCUUUGUCGUCUCAAGCUUCACUGCUGCCUUACUUUCAUGGGGAAAGGAUCUUCUCUCUGUUCUGGACUAAAGCAAUAGAGAAGAAUAUCUAGUCUUUUUGUUGCUAUGGGCAAGAUGUUUCUGAACGAUUUAUUAUAGAAACAUUGUAAGGAAAUGAAUGGGGAAUUAGAAGAAGAUCACAGAACAAGAGGAAGCAUGCUUCAACUCAAUUGGCAUUUACAUAAGCAAAUGUUGAUCCACUAUUUUGGAUACAGCUGAUUCAAUUCUUGUUCACAAGUAAUGUUGGGCAUUAAUCUUUGACAACUUUGGAGUAAUUUGUUAUUUAGUGAACUUUUAGAUUGGCUGCUAACUAACAGCGGCGAGGUGUCGAAACAUGUUUUCAUGUGUCUACAGAGGUUUAAGUGUCUCCAAUUUAAUUAAGAGUGUCCACUUCAAUCAAGUAUGGCCAUUCUAAUCAGAACUAUACACUCGAUCAUAGAAGUUUCAUCUUUUAUUACCGAUUACAUAAGGCCAUUGCAUAUUUGCGAAUUCUUCAGAGGCUGAAAACUAUAAAUAGUCAUAAUUUGCUUUAUAUUUGGUCAAUAGGCCGCCCCAUUACGUGUAGGCUUCUAAUGUACUCUAGUAACUCUCCAAUAUAUGAACAUUGUACAUAUCUAGCUCCACUUGGAUCAAGCAAAGUUGUUUCUAGAUGUUACAUAUCCCCACAAACUAUCAUUCAAUGGAACUGGUUCAACGCAGCUCCAUUAUGUACUCUAGACAGAAAUUGCAAGAGAGAAAGGCGUCACGGGCUAGAUAUGACCCGAGGACCGUAGUUAGAUCAUCAUUGGGUUAAAUGGUCCUUGCUAAAUAUACACAAUUAAAUUUGAUAUGAUGAAUUUAUGAUAUGUUUGUGAAACUUGUCUACUUGUUUUUUGCAAUGUUCAGUUAAACCUGCAUCGCAGUAUAUCUUUUUUUUUUAAAGCUCAUUUGUACAGUAUUUAUAGCAUAAACAAUUUCUAAAAAUUUUUGCCAGAACAUGUGGAUAAUGAAACAGACAGACAGGCAGGACAGAAAGACAAAAAAAAAAAAAAAAAAACAGACGCAAAAUGAUGGUGUCAUUUUUUUCAAGAAACAAAAUUUAUAUUGUAUAUGUUUAUUAAUCAAUAUUAAUAUUUGAAAACUGAUAAAAAAAGGGGAACCUUAUUAACAAUUUUUAAAAAGUACAACUUCAAAUUAUGACAUUGAAUACAGAGUUUGCAACAACAAAAAAAUCGCCUGCAGAAAAUUAGCUUAAAACAUUUUCUUGCGUAAAACAUUUUAAUACUUCUACGCCAACGCGAUUCUACCCGUCUUUACUGUAUCGAAAUGUUUUCCCAGGCUCUGUACCAUUGUUUGAUGUAGCCUAAGUCUUCUACGUGACCAAAGCAGGACUGCUGCAAUGCUUGUCGCUCAACUCCAAAUAUGAUCUUGCGACAAUUAGGCGCAUUACAGUAGACGCUCAAUCUUCAGUAUCGGCAUUUAAAGCUCAACUCAACAUGUUGUGUGAGCUGUAGACGCCAGUAGAGUGCAUUUCAGAAACUCAGAAAGUAAGAAAGUCAGAAACUUAGAAACUCAGAAAUAACAAGGUCCCGAGGACGUGGUGGAUGAGUGGUUAGGCGCUUGGCUUCUAAACCUGGGGUCCUGGGUUUAAAUCUAGGUGAAGAUUGGAUUUUGAAUUUCGGAUUUUUAGGGCGCUCCUGGGUCCACCCAACUCUAAUGGGUACCUGACUUUAAUUGGGGAAAUUAAAGGCAGUUGGUCGUUGUACUGGCGACAUGACACCCUGUUCGCUAAAAGAUGGCCAAAGAAACAGUCUUAAACAUGACCUUAAAAUGAUCUGCCCUAUAGAUCGCAAGGUAUGCAAGGGUUUCGCCGAAGGAACUAUCUAACCUAAGCGAUUGUACCAUAUAGUCUAGGAUCUCUGAAUUCUGCCGACAACUGUUGACUGCUGAAUGAGAUAUGUCAAUGCCUUGCUUGUUAUUUGAAAUUCUCUGUAUUUACAUGCCUAGAUGACUAAAUUUGUCCACAAUUUUUAAUAUUGGUGAGAUGAUGGAGAGGUCAACCGAGUGAUUAUGUUCUCUCUUUUUUUUUUUACAACUAAAAACAAGCGAACAUGUUUUUAAACAAACAACAUUUACAGACGCAUACACAGAAUAAUCCGUGUAAUAACAUGAAUUCCUGUCAAUAUAAAGCUAUCAAUUUCCGUGUGCAUAAUGCAACAAAACUAGAAGACAGCGAUUCAAAUAAAGGUUGCAUCCCUUUGUCAGGUUGCAAGGUUUUAUUUAUCUCAGUUUCUUCCCUUGUCUUCCCCGCUUCCCGCAACCCUUUCCAUCCCUUCCCCACCUCGACUCCCUUUAUGUUCUUAGCAUUGAACUCCUCCAACCCGAUCCUUCCCCCCCCGCGUAUGACAUCUCCCGGGACAGUAGGGAGAAUAGAUUAAAUUAACUGUUCAAGACAAGACGCUCUCUCUCUCACUCACGCAAGCACAUACACAGGUGGAGAGAAGAAACAACGUACAAAUAUAUCGAGACACCCCAACAAAUUUGUUUGUAUAUAAAACAUCCAUCUGGUAUAGAAAACAUCGUAUUCUGGUUGCUUACACUCGAUACCCGUACAACAGUAAAACUCUAAAUGAAAAAGUCUGAACCUUAAAGGAACGAAUUUUUCUUGAUGUCAGCAUCUUGUAUUUUAAAAUGAAAACAACAGCUGAAAUCUUUUUUUUUUUAAUGAGACCACUAAUUGCAGUAGUUAUUGAUCGGUCGUUGGAUUGUAGUGACAUAUGCCGAGAAAACCACUAGCCCUAUACUAUUUUUAAGUAUAGAACUUGAAAUAGAUUGAAUUUAUUUAUUUUGUGAACAAAAUUAAAUAGAAUUUUUAUUAUAAUAUAGACAAAAUCAACUUGUGAUGGAAUGUAGUAGACGUUAGUCAAAGAUGGUAUUUUGAACAAAAUCUAAUUCACAACAAACACACUCCCGUUUCUUUGGGUCGUCUCUCGUUCUUAACAUAAAUUAUGGCAGAGCCGUUUAUCUUGCAUCAUUCUACAAAACUAACAAUUAAUGCUCCCUUUCUUCAUCAUCGCCAUGAAAACCCACACUCCCUAACAGUAAUGCGCAUAUCAAAACGUGUGGACGUGAAUCUCAAGUAGGCCUACUCUCUAACGGUAUCUCUCUGAACUGGAGCAGCUCGUGCUCAUUAAGAAUAUAUAAACUAGUUUACAGAGAGCAGGAAGUUUUCUAAUGUCUUAUCAAUCGUCAGAAAUACAGAGCCAUUAGUGCGUCUUGUAAGACUUAUUGAUUAUGUGAUGCCAGCUUCUCAACUUUUUUAAAAGCAUUCACAAGUCUCCUUAGCUCAGCCGUCUGAUGAACCUGUAGUAUGUCUUUUAAAUUCUAAGUCUAAGUGGUUCUCUCUGUUUUAAAGUUUCGCAAUCCAGCCAUAUCUUUUCGCGGAUAUGGCUGUAUAUUAGCCAAGAGUUGCACAACUUACGACCCGCGGGUCACAUUACCAGCACGUGACAAGAUGCUAUACGGACCCUCGUAGAGUCUCGGUUAUUUUCGAAUCGACGAUUUUUUUCGGUAAUGUGGCCCGUGACGUGUGUGAUGGGAGAUCGCAUAGGUUGCAGCCAAAAACAGGUUGGCACUAGUGUUUUAGUCCUUAUAUUUGGUCCUCAACCAUCUAUCCUGGUCCUCAACUCUGUGGUCAGGAGAUUUUAUGGGCUACAACCCAAAACAGGUUGGCACCACCAUUUUGGUCCUUAUAUUUGGUCCUCAACCAUCUGUCCAGGUCCUCAGCUAUGUGGACGUCCUAUCCAGCCAAUGCCAUCUUUUAGGGUGAACAAAAUAUUUGUAGUUGUACAUGUUUGAUAAAUCAUCUGCCACUCAAACCAAUGCCUUCAGUGUCCGAAAAUGUCAGUUGUUAGUAAGGGAUAGAUGGCUUUCAGCGUCCGAAAUGGUCAAUUGUUAGUAAGGGAUAGAUGGCUUUCAGUGUCCGAAAAGGUCAGUUGUUAGUAAGGGAUAGAUGGUUUUCAGUGUCCGAAAAGGUCAGUUGUUAGUAAGAGAUAGAUGGCGUUCAGUGUCCGAAAAGGUCAGUUGUUAGUAAGGGAUAGAUGGCGUUCAGUGUCCGAAAAGGUCAGUUGUUAGUAAGGGAUAGAUGGCUGUCAGUGUCCGAAAAGGUCAGUUGUUAGUAAGGGAUAGAUGACUUUCAGUGUCCGAAAAGGUCAGUUGUUAGUAAGAGAUAGAUGGCUUUCAGUGUCCGAAAGGGUCAGUUGUAAGUAAGGAAUAGAUGGCUUUCAGUGUCCGAAAGGGUCAGUUGUUAGUAAGGAAUAGAUGGCUUUCAGUGUCUGAAAGGGUCAGUUGUUAGUAAGGAAUAGAUGGCUUUCAGUGUCCGAAAGGGUCAGUUGUUAGUAAGGAAUAGAUGGCUUUCAGUGUCUGAAAGGGUCAGUUGUUAGUAAGGAAUAGAUGGCUGAGGUCCAAUAAAAGGAAUAAAACAUUGGUUCCUAACCUGUUUCGGACUGAAGCCCUUAAUUCUCCUGACCAAAGAGUUACAUACUUUUAAUACGUUUUUUUUUUCACGCGUCACCUGUUCAUGUUUUAAUAUUACUAUUGCUUUGCUAUAUAGCUCAAUCACUACAUGGUCAGAGACUGUUACAGAACAUUUGACGUCAAAUUUGUUUUCUAUCACCAUAUUUAAAAAAAAGUAUUUAAUAGAGAUAUCAUUCUUAUAAGACAUUUUAUCUACGCAAUUAAGUUAAAGUUUUCUUCGAAUUGCAAUCCUGUAAUAAUUCGGUACCAUGAGCAAGUUCAGAGAUGAUCAAUGUUUACUUUAAUUCAAUCAAAUCCUUUUUCCAGUGACAUAAGUGUGUAGUCUACUACAUUAAGCUAGUACUAAAUCAUGCUUUUGGUCACAUUUGUACAACGGAACAACUGAAAAAACUAAAAACAGUCAACGCUAUGUAUGACUCUUUAUUGUUUAUGUUUUUUUUUUUUUCACGAAUGCAUCAUAACAAAUGAAUAUAUUAUAUAUAAUAAUAUAAUCACUGUAAUUACCCUAUUAUUUGAUUACAAUAAAAUCAUUAUGAAAAAGAUUUUAUUGUGAAAUAUAAUAGGUUGUUAAUAAUUAUAACUAUAUUUUUGUGUGUUCUAAGUAGACCGCUAGGAGAUAAUGCCAGUCUCGGCAUAGCUUCUGAUGUGUCAGGUUUAAAGCCACUGAGGCCAGUAUUCAAUAUUUCUACCUUGUAUAUGUUGCUUAUUUUGUGUAUUAUUUGCUAACUUAUAAAAAGACCUACACUUUACCUACGUUUCGUCAUUUUACAAAAUAUGUCAGCAAAAUAUGUCAGCAUACUAUGUCAGCAUACUAUGUCAGCAUACUAUGUCAGCAUACUAUAUCAGCAUACUAUGUCAGCAUACUAUGUCAGCAUACUAUGUCACAGCGAUGAUUUCAGAAAGUUUGGGUUAGGCCUAUCAAAAUUUUGUUUUUGAAUCAACAAUUUUUCUUUAAAUUAAAAAGUUGUCUUUAAAUCACUGUUCCAUCCCGAGACGUCACAAUCCUCUUUCAGAUUUUGUCUAUAUCCGAACUCUCCUAUACAAGAAUCACUUUAGAUCAUUUCUUUAUGCUCUAUAUUGAAGAGGGUAACAAAAAAAUCUGCAAGCGACUAGAUUGCCCUUUGAGGACACUAGAUGAAACUAUUUUGUUGACAUUUUCACAAAACCGGCAAGCCAUAACAGAAUCCCGAGACUGGCAUUAAGAAAACUUGACUCCCUAAUGACUUGAUUGGUACCAAUGGAAUCCCCCCUCUUCUGCCAGUGACCUAUAUCUUACUGUUGCUACUGGUGUUUUAAAACAUUUAAUUAUAUCUCUGUAAACAAAGUUUAUAAAGGAGAGCCACAACCUCCUCUAAUGCUACUAAGACAAAGAACGUAAUUCCUACGUUGUCUGAUGGAGACAUAGGAUCCAGACACACACACAAAUAAAUAAAUAACAAAACUUUAGUUGGAGCUGAUGUCAUAACAGUGUCGAUAAUCAGACAAGGCAAGAUUUUUUUUUUCUUCUACUUUUUACAAUGGAAAUUCUAAAUAGAUAGAGCUUCUCAAUCUUAUCAUUUUGUAAUGCAAUAAUAAAAAAAAAGUCUAUCAACAAUGAGAUUUGGCUUGUAAACCCUUCCCCCCCCCCCUACCAAGGGUGAAGAGAAUAAAACAUAGGUCAUUUAUAGAGAAGUUUUAAUCUUGAAGAUCUUUUUUUUUUCAUUUGAGAUUUUUCUAUGAAAAAAAGGACAUUGAUCAUUUUGAUCUGUCAAACAAUAAAAUGAAUACAUUACUGUAUCAAUAUCUCCGAACGAACCCGAGUGUGGCUCUAUUUGUGUAUGCGCAAGUAACUAUUUGAUGUACUGUCCUGCAUGGAACAUAAUAAGUCAAACUGCACACAAGUAGAUAAAUGUUUUAUCAGCUGGUGGAGGGUGUUGAAUCAUGAGGGGAAAAAAGAACACUCCCAAGUCAUCUUGGAGGCAUUCAGAAUUGCGAAUGAAUUCUGCGCGACUGCAGCUAAGUAGAUUUCUAAAAUCUUGCAGUACGUGCUGGCGAAAGACAUUAAACGUCCUGGAGCUGAGAGACCUAGACAUGACAAUAAAAUGUGCCUCAAGAGCUGAGAAAUUGCUUUUAUUAUUGUGUCAAAAAGACAAUAACAACAUUUUCAUUUUGGACAAAAGGGUAGAAAUGUAUUUUCCCCCUUGUCUAGAAUUCAGUGUUCGUGUACAAAUCUUUUCCCCCACUAUUUUCCUAAGGGUACCAUACAAGUUUUGAUGGGGAGUCUAGUCUAAAUGGCGGUCUACGCGGUAGAUAAUCCAUGUUGAUGUUAUUGCAAUGUUUAAUAUUUGAAGAUAUAAUUCAUGUGAUCUACUUUUGUGUGUGUGUGUGUGUUGACGUCAGCUUUCUGUGUCUUUGUUUCAAGAUUAAAUUCAAUGUUUUCAAUCAAAA